UUAGUUAUUAAAACUGUAAAUAAAAAUAAUUUAUAUCAAUAUCUAUAUCCGAACAUUAAAAGUUAUUAUUUAAUGUUCAAAAUAAAAAUUUGAUCACAACAUAGAUAAAUUUUCUGUUAAAAGAAUUUUUUUCUGUGCAUAAAUCAAGCGUUUAAGGGCGUGUAGUGGAUGCCUUGGCACUGAAAGCCGAUGAAGGACGUGAUAUACUGCGAUAAGUUUCGGGGAGCUGUAUGUAAGCUUUGAUCCGAAAAUUUCCGAAUGGGGAAACCCACCACUUUAUGUGGUACUUUAAACUGAAUACAUAGGUUUAAAGAGACAACCUGGAGAACUGAAACAUCUAAGUAACCAGAGGAAAAGAAAUCAAUUGAGAUUCCGUUAGUAGUGGCGAGCGAACGCGGAGUAGGCCAGUAGUUUUGUUAGAAAAAUUUGAAUAGUUUGGAAAUGCUAACCAUAGAGGGUGAUAGUCCCGUAUGAGUAAUGUCUAACAAAAUUCUUGAGUAAAGCGGGACACGAGAAAUCCUGCUCGAAUAUAGGGGGACCACCCUCUAAGCCUAAAUACUCUUCAGUGACCGAUAGUGAACUAGUACCGUGAGGGAAAGGUGAAAAGAACCCCUAUUAGGGGAGUGAAAUAGAACCUGAAACUGCAUGCCUACAAUCAGUCCGAGCCCUUUUUAGGGUGAGGGCGUACCUUUUGUAUAAUGGGUCAGUGACUUAAUUUAUUAAGCAAGCUUAAGCCAUCUAGGUGUAGGCGCAGCGAAAGCAAGUCUUAAUAGGGCGAUUAGUUUAAUGAAUUAGACCCGAAAACGAAUGAGCUUACCAUGAGCAGGUUGAAAGUUGGGUAACACCAACCGGAGGACCGAACCAGUUGACGUUGAAAAGUCUUUGGAUGACUUGUGGUAAGGGGUGAAAGGCCAACCAAAUUCGUAGAUAGCUGGUUUUCCGCGAAAACUAUUUAGGUAGUGCGUCGAAUAAAUAGAUGUUUAGAGGUAGAGCACUAAAUGGGCUAGGGGGAAGAGAUUCUUACCAAACCUAAUAAAACUCCGAAUGCUAGACAUUGUUCUUCGGCAGACAGACUGUGGGUGCUAAGGUCCAUGGUCGAGAGGGAAAGAGCCCAGACCACCAGAUAAGGUCCCAAAAUCAUGAUUAAGUGUGAAAGGAUGUGGAAAUUCCUUAACAGCCGGGAGGUUGGCUUAGAAGCAGCCAUCCUUUAAAGAUAGCGUAACAGCUCACCGGUCUAAUAGAGUUUCUGCGCCGAAGAUGUAACGGGGCUAAAAUCAUGUACCGAAUCUGUGGCUUUACAAAGUUUUCGAACUUUGUAAGGGGUAGCGGAACGUUCUGUAAGCCUGCGAAGGGAUACCCGUGAGGGAUCCUGGAGGUAUCAGAAGUGCGAAUGCUGACAUAAGUAACGAUAAACGAAGUGAAAAACUUCGUCGCCGAAAAUCUAAGGGUUUCUAUGCAAGGUUAAUCCGCGUAGAGUUAGUCGGCACCUAAGGCGAGGGCGAAAGCCGUAGUCGAUGGAAACAAGGUUAAUAUUCCUUGACCUGAUGGUAGUGACGGAUUUCGUAAGUUGUGAGUUCUUAAUGGAUUGAACUUGCCGCGAAGAGGUCCCAAGAAAUAGCUCCAUCAUGAAGACCGUACCCGAAACCGACACAGGUAGAUUAAUAGAGUAUAUUUAGGCGCUUGAGAGAAUGAUGUUGAAGGAACUCGGCAAAAUGCUUCCGUAACUUCGGGAUAAGGAAGACCCUUUUGUAGGCAACUAUGGAAGGGUGGCACAAGCCAGGGAGAAGCGACUGUUUAUCAAAAACACAGGGCUCUGCUAACACGUAAGUGGAUGUAUAGGGUCUGACGCCUGCCCGGUGCUGGAAGGUUAAUGCGGUUGGUGCAAGCUAACUUCUGAAGCCCCAGUAAACGGCGGCCGUAACUAUAACGGUCCUAAGGUAGCGAAAUUCCUUGUCGGGUAAGUUCCGACCUGCAUGAAUGGCGUAACGAUUUCUCCGCUGUCUCCAACAUCAACUCAGUGAAAUUGAAUUCUCCGUGAAGAUGCGGAGUUCGCGUAGUUAGACGGAAAGACCCCGUGCACCUUUACUGCAACUUUACAUUGGUGUUAGGAAAAACAUAUUUAGCAUAGGAGGGAGACUUUGAAGCAAAGGCGUCAGCUUUUGUGGAGUCACCAGUGAAAUACCUCUUUUGUUUUUCUUGACAUCUAACCGCUAGCCGUCAUCCGGCAGCGAGACAUUGUAUGGUGGGUAGUUUGACUGGGGCGGUCGCCUCCCAAAUAGUAACGGAGGCGUGCGAAGGUAGGCUCAGAACGGUCAGAAAUCGUUCGUAGAGUGCAAUGGCAUAAGCCUGCCUGACUGUGAGACUGACAAGUCGAGCAGAGACGAAAGUCGGUCAUAGUGAUCCGGUGCUUCUGAGUGGAAGGGGCAUCGCUCAACGGAUAAAAGGUACGCCGGGGAUAACAGGCUGAUACUGCCCAAGAGCUCAUAUCGACGGCAGUGUUUGGCACCUCGAUGUCGGCUCAUCACAUCCUGGGGCUGGAGCAGGUCCCAAGGGUUUGGCUGUUCGCCAAUUAAAGUGGUACGUGAGCUGGGUUCAGAACGUCGUGAGACAGUUCGGUCCCUAUCUGCUAUGCGUGUAGAAGAAUUGAGAGGAGUUGACCCUAGUACGAGAGGACCGGGUUGAACAUACCACUGGUGGACCUGUUGUGGCGCCAGCCGCAGUGCAGGGUAGCUAAGUAUGGAAGAGAUAACUGCUGAAAGCAUCUAAGCGGGAAACUCACCUCAAAACUAGUUCUUCCUAUAGAGCCGUGGUAGACCACCACGUUGAUAGGCUGGAUGUGGAAGCGCAGUAAUGCGUGUAGCUGACCAGUACUAAUAGCUCAAUUGGCUUGAUUUAUG
Molecule: ribosomal RNA, 2897 nt
Filed under: Candidatus Pelagibacter ubique HTCC1062
Lineage: Bacteria; Pseudomonadati; Pseudomonadota; Alphaproteobacteria; Candidatus Pelagibacterales; Candidatus Pelagibacteraceae
Description: bacterial LSU rRNA
Rfam family: Bacterial large subunit ribosomal RNA
Source: RNAcentral